Molecule: ribosomal RNA, 451 nt
Filed under: uncultured bacterium
Lineage: Bacteria
Description: partial 16S ribosomal RNA
Rfam family: Bacterial small subunit ribosomal RNA
Source: RNAcentral
GUGGGGAAUAUUGGACAAUGGGGGGAACCCUGAUCCAGCCAUGCCGCGUGUGUGAAGAAGGCCUUUUGGUUGUAAAGCACUUUAAGCGAGGAGGAGGCUACUCUAGUUAAUACCUAGGGAUAGUGGACGUUACUCGCAGAAUAAGCACCGGCUAACUCUGUGCCAGCAGCCGCGGUAAUACAGAGGGUGCGAGCGUUAAUCGGAUUUACUGGGCGUAAAGCGUGCGUAGGCGGCGUUUUAAGUCGGAUGUGAAAUACCUGAGCUUAACUUAGGAAUUGCAUUCGAUACUGGGAAGCUAGAGUAUGGGAGAGGAUGGUAGAAUUCCAGGUGUAGCGGUGAAAUGCGUAGAGAUCUGGAGGAAUACCGAUGGCGAAGGCAGCCAUCUGGCCUAAUACUGACGCUGAGGUACGAAAGCGUGGGGAGCAAACAGGAUUAGAUACCCGAGUAGUCC